Pipistrellus kuhlii (Kuhl's pipistrelle) is the source of this 752-nucleotide long non-coding RNA. RefSeq lists it as uncharacterized. NCBI's taxonomy places the organism in Eukaryota, Metazoa, Chordata, Mammalia, Chiroptera, Vespertilionidae. The record is from RefSeq and is a predicted model, not a curated record. The transcript has 3 exons.
UCGCAAUAGGUCUCUUCAGCAGCUUUUCCGCUUCGCGCUUUAUGAACACAAGGCUUUGUUUGGGGCUCCUUUUGUGCCUGUAGACCUAGUUCCUCGGAUGGAAGCUGGAGGCGCUGGACUGUGUGGCCCCUAGGAGUGAAAAAAAGCACUGGGUUCCAUCCUCAGCUAUUCUCACUGGCUUUGUGACCCUGAACAAGUCACCUAACCUCUGAGCCUAGGUCUAGGCUAGGUUAACACCCCUUUAAAAGGCCACCUUUUCAGGCGCCCUCAGAAAUGCUACUACCAUGGACAAAGCACACCUCUUAACUACUCAGUAAUCCAAUCAUAGGGAUUUCCCGGCCUUCCUUUUUCCCCCACCUUCGUGUAAUCUUCUUUAGGUUCCCUCCUUAAUUCCAGAUAUAUAAAAGUAACUACUUAGGAUGCCUGGAUUUCAUAUUAUCUCAGGACUCUAAAUACUCUUAACAGCUGUCCAAGUGUUGGUGAUUCCAGUGGACUGUAUCUCUGUGAAAAACACAAUUUUGCCUUUUUGUAAUUCUAUUUGAGCAUGUUGGAAGUUUAAUUAGCUUUCCAACCAACCAAAUUUCUGCGUUCGAGUCUUAACAAUAUCUAAGUGUUACUGUGGCUUCAAAGAAGCUAUUGAUUCUGAAGUAGUGGGUUUUGACUGAGUUGACUGUUUUUAAAAAACUGUUUGGAUUUUAAUUGUGAUGCAGAAGUUACAGUAACAAACAUUUGGUUUUGUAAGAUCGGACGAG